UGGUAGUGUAUUGGACAACCAUGGCAGUCACGGGUAACGGGGAAUUAGGGUUCGGUUCCGGAGAGGGAGCCUGAGAAACGGCUACCACAUCUAAGGAAGGCAGCAGGCGCGUAAAUUACCCAAUCCCGACUCGGGGAGGUAGUGACAAGAAAUAACAACCCAAAUGGUUUUUCCAUUAUGGGAUUGCAAUGAGAACAAUUUAAAACACUUAACGAGGAACAAUUGGAGGGCAAGUCUGGUGCCAGCAGCCGCGGUAAUUCCAGCUCCAAUAGCGUAUACUUAAGUUGUUGCAGUUAAAAAGCUCGUAGUUGAAUUUCUGGUUGAGCACUGACUCGGCUUUUGUCAGUUAGUUGUUUAAUCAUCCGUCUGCAAAUCUGGUCAGGCCUUAACUGGCUCAACCAGUGGAGUAGACAUUUUACCUUGAAAAAAUUAGAGUGUUUCAGGCAGGUAAUCGCCGGAAUACAUUAGCAUGGAAUAAUGGAAUAGGACUUUGGUCUAUUGUUGGUUUCUAGACCCGAGUAAUGAUAAAUAGGAACAGUUGGGGGCAUUAGUAUUUAAUUGUCAGAGGUGAAAUUCUUGGAUUUAUUAAAGACUAACUUAUGCGAAAGCAUUUGCCAAGGAUGUUUUC
This 628-nucleotide ribosomal RNA is filed under the name uncultured ciliate. Its description in RNAcentral is "SSU rRNA". It matches the Rfam family "Eukaryotic small subunit ribosomal RNA", at positions 326 to 971 of the family's 1831-position model. Lineage: Eukaryota; Ciliophora. The record is from RNAcentral.